This is a non-coding RNA of Zonotrichia albicollis (white-throated sparrow), 11964 nucleotides long. The record is from RefSeq and is a predicted model, not a curated record. NCBI's taxonomy places the organism in Eukaryota, Metazoa, Chordata, Aves, Passeriformes, Passerellidae.
CAAACACUUUUGGGAUCCUGUGAUUAAUUCUGUAAUUCCGUGAUUGAUUCCAUGAACCCCACCUGUGCUCCCUCUUCCAGAGUGAGAUUUCCUCUGCUUUGGAGGGGCCAAGAUUUCAAGUCAAGGCCCCAGUUCUUUUUCCUCUGUUUUGCCCACCCAGCAGAAUUCCAGGCUGGGGAAAUUGUUGGAGCUGUGGUUUUAACAUGACAGCAGUGACGAGAGGGCGAAUGAUGUUUCUGUCAGUGCACUGAAGGCCAUUGUGCACUAUCGAUUUUUGUAUUUGUUUGGUUUUUGUUGGUGUUUUUUGUAGCAGAACACUCCAUUCAAAGGAGUGUAAAACACUCCAUUAAAUAUUAAUGCUUUCCCCCACUUCUUUUCUCUGUGGACACAUCUCCUUCUGUUUUCCCAGGUCCCCAUCCUGCUGGACAGCUGGAGGAUGUUCCCACCAAAUGAUCAGCAGGUCGAGGAUGCUGCAUAAAACACUCAGCAGUGCCCCUUUAACGUGGAAGAAACUUGACUUUUAUUGCUAGUGCUGAAAGCAUCUACAAAUGUAGAUUUAGCAUCAGCCUCCAGGCUUAAGAUACAGCUGUUAUAUUUUCCUUUCUUCCUUUAAUUUUUUUUCUCCCCUCUCCUUUGCACUAAUGUAAUGCUUAUUUAGGAACUACAGCCAUCUGUGGUUGCUAGGGAUGGCACUGUUAAAUUUGCUGUUGCUUUCUUUCCCCUGGUUUGAUGAGGCUCUCAGUGCACAGAGAAUUCCCCAGGACAGCACAGACUUGCUUUGAUUGCCUUUUUUAUUUAUUUUUUUUUAUUUUUUGAAACACAUCCCAAAGAGAUUGUUCACAGGGCUCUGUCUGUGCUGGGAAAAGGUGGUCAGCUGGAGGGCUGAGAUCCUGCCUUGUCGUGGGUUAAUGAGGUGAGGUUAUGAAGAACCAGGCAGCAGAAGAAGUUGAUGAAAUUAGAGGGGAUGGCAAGUAAAAAGGGAGGGAAGGAGGAAGGGCUGGGACCAGAGCCCUUCCUGUUGCUCACAGCAGCCUGUGGUUAAUGGUGAGAGGAUUCACGUGGGAACUGGGGCACUUGCAGCACUCAAGGGAAUAUUUUAGUGUUUUUCCAGUGAAAUGCUGUGCCUGACAGAUGGACAGGGAUCUAUCUACCCUGAGUGGAGCUGGGCACAGCCCUGCACAGCAGGAUGGAUGUGAGGUGCUGCCAGCAGGGACUUGGCUCUUUGUGUCAGCAAAGGCAAAGGUGGAUUCUGCCUGUUGUGUCCCUGAGCUGCCUUCAAGUGCCUCGUGCUCACCCUUGUGAGGAAAGGUAAAUCUUAAAAAUUGCUAUAAAGAGAAAGGAAAAUAUCUCUCCUUUGGGGCAAAGCCCUGUAGAGAGAGCUGCUCUAGAUGUCCUGUGAGUGAUUUACCUUUUAAUCUCCAUCUCUUUGGUUUUGUUCAGUGUUCUUUCUGUUACCUGCUCCUUUAGAUUGUCCUCUGUGGGAGCCACAGCUCCUCUUUGCACUCUGGAGCCCCUUCCCUGUGGACUGCCCUUUUCAUGGGAAGGUUAAUAACAAGUUUAUCAGAAAAUACUCUUGCAUCUUAUGUAAAAUCAGAGGGGAGGUGCUGCUUUGUGGUCUGUAGGAGCUGGGAUGGGUUGUGUUUGACCAGAAAUCCUUUGGCUGCAUCUCCUUGGGCAGCCAGGCCCAUUCCUUGCCCCUGUCCAUAAUUGUCCUGCAAGGCAGGCUGGCUCCAAGCUCUUUGAAAUGAGGUGUACAAAAUGGUGAUGGUUUUGGGUUUUUUUUCCAGUUCAAAGCCAGGGCAGGGCUUUGCUGCUGCAGCCAUGAGGGGGAAUUGGUGGAGUUCCAGGUGUCAGGAAAAUCAGUUUAUCUCUCCAGGCUGCCUGGAGGUCCCUAUGUGCCUGAAGUCCCAGACUCACUGGAUGCUCCUUAGCUGUCCCUAGGGCUGUUGGUUCUCCACCCUUCAAACCCAGGCAUUCCAGAGCCUGGAUCAUGCUCCAAACCUGGGAAUGUCCCAGGGCAUGCUGGGCACCCUGAACUGGAGGUGAGGAUGGGAACCUGCUCUGCUGAAGGCGCAGUGAUGAGCCUGGCACCGUGGUCCUGCAGCUGUCAGCAUGAUGAAUGGGUGUUGUGUUUUAUUUCCUGCUUUAUCAAAUACUAAUUAUGUAGAUGAUAAUUCUCAGCAUCACGGUUCCUUUUGGCUCAUUUGUUUUUCACCCUCCAGAGCAAGAAUAGGGGGUUUUUCCAUCUCCCUCCCCCCUUCCCAUUCUUGAAAUUCUGCUUUAAUUGCUUCUCUUUGGCUUUUGCUUAAGGUUUGCUGCUCUGAACAGGUCAAUGUAUUGAUCCUGCACUUUGAUAAGGUCAGCAGAGAUCAGCUGUGACAUUUCCAGGAGAUUUGCUCCUCCCCUAAUGGGCUUAGUCAUCAAAGAGUUUUCCAGGGGACAGGGCAGGGGAGAGAUUGGAUUUCAGCUCUUACACAUGUUUAUUUGGGCAUGUUCUGAGCAGUGGGAUCACUUGGCAGACUAAAGGAUGUGCUGUGCAGGGUAUGAACUCUGCCUCUGGUGCCCACCAUGGUCACUAAAUGUCACAGAAGCUCUGUGUGUGUGGCUGGGUGAGGUGGCACCAGCUGAUCCCAAAGGGCACAGAGCAAGGGGACCCCACAAACCCUGGCUGUGGCAGCCCCAGCCCAGCCCUGCUCUGACCAUUCAGAGGAAGGCAAGGAGAUAACAAAAAGAACAAGCAAGCAACAUCUGCUGGGCCAAAUGAGCCUGGGGGAGGAAAAUAAAUCAACAAAUUCCUUCCUGAGCUCUUGGGGAGUGAGGCUGGGCUGCAGCUUCAUGGGGAGUGCAAGGAGAGCAGCAGAUCACCCAGAAUUUCCUGUUCUUGUCGUGGCUGAGGGGACAAGGAAGGGAGCCAGGGUAGGGAGGGAUGCCCUGAGCCACCCAGCCCCGCUCCCUGUGCUCCUGUCUCCAGGAGCUGGAUGACAGCCUGCCUGUGAAGGAGUUAUCUACUCCAGCAGUGUCCAAGCUGGAGGAUCCACACCCUGCUGUGUCCCUCCCUGCUGGGAAACAGUGCUGUAUUUUGGGAUUUAUCUGACCUGAGCUUCCAGGCAUUGAAUCUCAUCAUCUCCUUGUCAGAAUCCUGGGAAGUCCCCUGCCAGCCAGGACAUUUCCAUGUUGAUGCCUGGACAUUUUGGGAUUAUUUUAAAGCAACGCUUUGGCAAACUGAGGAAGCUGAGCUGAGUUCGGACUUUUCCCAGCUCUCAGCUCUGUGUGUGGAAUCCUUUUGAAUGCUCUCCAAGGCCUCCCCUCCCUGUGUGGACACCCCACAUCUCCUGGAAAGGCUCUAAAAGCUGCCCAGAGCUGUGCUGUGCUCUGCACAAGGGCUCUCACAGCCUCUAAAAUGCUGGAGGGGGUUGUUUUGUCAUAUAAAGUCAUGCAAAUGUGGGUGAAAUAGAGGGAAAUGGAGGGUAAGAGAAGAAGGAAAUGCAAAUGUCCAGUGAAAGCCUGGUGCCCGUCCCUGCUUGGAUGAAUAUUCACUUACUCCAGGGACAGCAUCUUUGGUCCUGCUGCAGUUGGUGCUUUCUGAGGUAAUCUCUCACGUUGGAAUAAGCUGUCAUUUGCAUUCCUGGUUUCCAGAGGUGUUAUCUUGCACUGCCUUGCAUCAGACUACAUUUUUGCAGGGUGAUGUACCUCAGCAGUGAGGAGGGGGUGAGCAGCCUGUGGCCAAGUGACUGAGUCUGGCUGAGCAAAACCAAACAAAAGCAAACACCCCCUGUGCUGUCACCCUCUCCAGCCACCAAAGUGGGGAUGUUUAUCCUCCUGAAUCCCUGUCUAGCCACACAGAUCAAGGGGCCCUCGAUUGGGGUAGAUCUUGCUGACACUUGAUAGGAAAAGGUGAGAAAAAUGUAUUUAGUGGGUCUGCAAGGGGCCAUGAGUGCUGCCCUUGUAGGUGGGCUCAUUUAACCCACACUGUGACCUGCCCUGUUCUCAUGGUUACUUACUUGUGACCUCCCCUUCUGCUGUCUAUAAACAUUCCCAGAGAAGAGAAUCACUCCAGCAAAUGGUGGAUAAAAUGCUGAAUGAUGUGGACAGAGAGCAGAGCACUGGAAUUGAUCUAAACUGCCUGCAUGUCCCUCCAGAUUCUGAAGCAAAAGCUUUUUUCUGAGUAUUUUCAGGCUAUGUAGUGAGGCCAUAAAGAUUUCAGGGUGUCCCAGGCAAUGACAGAGUGAUUCAAUCAGGCUCCCUUAUCAGAUUCUCUCUGUCCUGCUUGUCUUCCCUUUUCUCUUCUCCAUCUCUUCUCUGUGGAGAAUGCUGGAUUGGAAUUGCUCAGAUGGGCAGCUCAGCCUUUAGCAGAGUAAGCAGAUUCAAGACUACAAGGUAACUAAAAAAUUCAGCUGUUUAAUGAAACCUGUGGCCCCCAGCUCCUUCCCUGUGCAGCCCUGCACAGCCCAGGACAGUUGCUAUAUUUUUAUUUCCUAUUUUGUGCACUCAGGAUUCUUCUUCCUGGAGGAUUUCCAAGGUGUCAGCCCCUGAGAUGCUCCUGACCCUGCUCUUGGAAGCACAAGGGAGACAAGACAUGUGCCAAUCCAGGCCCACAGAGGGAGGCCGAGGGCUCUCCGGGCAUGUUCACAAGGGAAUAUUGACAUUUGGGACCAAGGGAUGGAAAACUGGGCUGUGAGCUGCUGGAGCUGUUAUCAAGGAUAUUUAUCCCAGCAACUUUCCCCUGCAGGACUUCUCAAGGUUGUGCUUCUUUUUCUCCAUUCCCACUGAUACCUGGCCUGGAAAUGUGGGAAGGGAAGAAAGCACCAGAAUGUUUCCACCUGGCAGCUGGGUUGGCUUUCACAGGACAUCCUGGAUGAGACAAUGAGCGACACUUUUCUGCCCUCUGCACUUCAAAUGGGCUUUGAAAAUCCCUCCAGGGAUCCAGGAGAUGCCUAAGCAUCUCUGGCUGAAGGAAAAGCAGAGCCCUCUCCUGCUCAGUAGAAGCCAAACACCUCAUUAGCAAUAUUCAGGAAUUCCCAAAUUCCAAACGCACAGUGCUGAGAAGGACAGCCAGAUAAACUACCUUUCACCAAUUCUGGGAAUUGCUUUUGUUCAUGGCUGGAAAAAUCCUCCAAUUGUUGCUUCCUAGCAGAGUAUUCCAUCAAACCCAGGAAUUCCUCCCUGGCCCCACUUUGGAAAAAUGUGCUGUUCCUUUUUUACUUGAGCACUGAAAGUCUUUGGUUAGAUGAUAACCAAACACAGAGGAUGGGGAGUGCAGACCUCUGUGAUGCUGCCCUGGUGUGGCUCUGCCUAAAUCCCAAAAAAAAUCCCCCCAAACCUCUCCCUGUUUCCUCAAUAUCCCGACAGAGGCAACUCAGCUGGAAAGAUGCAUCCUGGCUAGGAUCUCCUGGAAUUCUUCCCAUGAGAAAGGCAGAUAUUUAUUUAAAGAUGGGACUGAAUCAAAACAGACAUGGGGAAAUGUCAAAAUAUUCCAUAAGUAGGAAGAGGAAGGAAUACAGUUGUCUCUCUAGCCCGUGAAUGAAUGACUUCCAUCUUGGGAGAAGCAGGAGUGGGAAUGGAGCGAGUGGAAUCUGUUCUGCUCUGCCAGUGUUGACAGAAGGGAAUAGCUCCUCCUGCCUCGACCAGAAUGGAUUCAAGCAGAGUAAACGGAGAGCUGCAGGGGCAGGGAGCAAAGGAAAACAGAGGAGAUUGCUUGGAAAACACGAGGAGGGAGAUUGAAUACUGAGGGGACGCGUGUCCCUGAACGUGGUCAUGAGGAAAUGGAGCACCCUGAUGGAAGUGAGAGCAGAAGCCAAUGCUGCUCUGGAAUGCAAAGGAGACACUGAGUUUAGUGAAUAUAGCCCUAAAGCCUCAAUUUUGAAUGGCUGAAAUUAGAGGAAUGGCUGUGGAACAGGGCUAGAAAAAGAUGAUAUUUAAGGUCCUUUCCAAUCCAAACCUUUUAAUGGUUCUAUGCUGUGGGAAUGACUUGUGGCAGACCAGGGGGAUAUGAGGAAUUAAAGUCUUUUAAUUCCUGCUCAACACCAUCCAAGAACUGCUUCCCAACAGAGGAUGCAUUCUGGGGAGGAUGGCAGCAUUUAGGAUUUGUUUGCAAAUCACAGCUGAAACCUAGGACUGAAUUUUGCUGCAUAAAGAUUUGGAUAGUCCUGCCAAUUCCCAUGAUAAUGCCUUGAUUUAUUAGCUCUUUCCUAAAGACAAAUGUGAGAUAACUUCAAUAGGCAAAGUUGGCCUUGACUGCCACUUUUAAAAAUACUUGAAAAGAGACUUAAAUUAGGGGGAGAAAAUGCAGAAAGAUCUAAAAAGGGACAGAAUAAAUUUAGAAAUCAGCUUCAGAACUGGCUGGAUUCUGCAAAUGUCUAAAACUAAAAAUAGAGGGGAAAGAUGAUUUUUUUUUCCCCCCUCCUUGAUCAAUUUAUUUUUUUCUCUCCUCACAUUGGGGUCCCCUCUAAGUUUACACCGAGCCCACGAGCCAGUGCCUGGUAAACAUUUUUGGUGUUAUUUUUGUCUAAGUGACAGCCCUGGGUGGCAUCCAAGCACAACCACAACAAACUCGAGUGAGCCAGAGCAGCGUGAGCACCAAAAAACCCUGGAGCAGACAGGGAGCGAUGCCACUGCAAUUCCAUCCUGGGGGAUUGCCACCUGCAUGAGGUCCCCAAACCACAAAGCCUCUUUGAGACGCUUCUUGGCUGGGAUCUGGCAGGAGUGAAGCUCUGGCACAGGUGUCUGUUCCUGCUGGAAGUAAUGAUUGGAAAGUGGGAAAUGGGCUCCUCACUUCCCACAUCUCUGUUUGCACAUUUUGGAUCUUGGACAUGGGAAUGUCGCAGCAGCGCCACAACCCAAACCACAACCCCUUGGAAGACGGGGCUGGAAAUUUUGUGACCCUUUGACUUCAGUGAUGGGGAUGACAAUGACAAGAGCAGCAGGAUCUUGGCACAGCCUGGCUGCUUCCCGGCGCCUCAGCAGCUGGGAAGGUUUCUGCUGUGGACUCACCAGAUGCUUGGCAUUUGGGAAUAAUUCAGCGUCGAUCAAAGCAGGAUGGAUAAAAAAAAAAAAGGAAAAAAGGAGAACCCAUGAUGGAUUCAUCCUUCACUGUGGCAUUAGUACAGCCCAGCCCUGUCCCCCUCCUCCGUGUCAGUGGUGAAAAAUGCCUCCUGUUCUCCAGCAAUUACCUGGUUGGGCUCACCCUUGGAAUGCCGAUCCUUCGGGAAGCGGCAGCGGCCGCCCCGCUCCGUCAUGCCGGUGAUGGAUGAGCCCCUGCUCAGCCCUGCUGCCAUCUGCCACCAGGGUCCCCUCCCCGGUCCCCAACAAGUGACAUCCUCGUUCCUUCACACGGAUCAGGGGCUAGAGGGAAAAGUGGCAGUGAUGAAAGGCUCCUGCAAAAGCGCGAAUUCACUGCGGAACGGGGGAGGCAAGGGAAGAGGCUUGGUGUGGGAAGGAAGGAGAAGAUGGAAAGAUGGAAGGGGAGGAAGGGAGGGAUCACCUGACUCACGUCCAGUCCCUGAGGUGUCACCCCACUACUGUUGAUGAGGCUCCUGAUGGUUUGGGUACUUGCUCAUGGCUCUUUUUGCCUGGGAUGUCCCUAGGAAAUGGAAUGUGUCCCAGCUGACACACCACUCACACCCCACCAUGAUCCUCAAGGCACAGCAGAGCAGGGAGCUGGAAUAAAUCAGACAAGUGGCGGAUGUCAAAACCAAAACUGAACUGGAUGGGCAGUUAAAAGAAAACUCCUCUGGGGCUAGGGUGACCAAAGGUAAAGUUAACUUGGAUGCCAAACCACCUCUGGAUGUCUCAGGAUGCAACAGAGUGUCUGAAGAUGGAAAGCUUCAUCUGGACAAGUUUGGGACAUCAUUGGAAACCUCCCUCCUUCCUCAAGGGAGAUGCAAAGCUCAAAGAAAGCCCUGCUUUGCUGAUGGCAUUUUCCAGGCUGGGUGGAUCUGUUCCACCUCUGGAACAAGAUGAGAGGGACCUGGUGGUGAAAUCCUGCCAUAUUUCUCAGGUUUGUCCUCAAAACCUUCAGCUGGAGCCACCUUGCUAUCAGGCACAAUCACUUUGCAAAGUACUUGGUUAUGGUCACCAAAACCUCUCAAUUAAAUUUAUUUUGGUAAUAAACCCAUUUCACUUCCUGGGUUUGAUCCCAGGUUUGCCCCAAGCUGCUCAGGUCAAAGGAAGCUGAAAGUUGGAGCUGAAAUCUCUCCUCAGGCAGGAUUUACAAGGGAAAAACAAGAGGAAAAAGCGGUUGGCACUUCUAGAGAUGCUCUAAAAAUGCUCACCAAGCAGAAACGGUGCCACAAGAAUUAUUCCCCCCACUCCAGCUAUCCCAAACUCCAGGAAAUUGUCCUUGCCCAUCUGUCAGCUCAGCUCCAACACAGAACAAAUCUCAUUAACAGGCACCAGAGAUUUAGGGAAGGGCUGGACUAUGGCAAAGCUCUUUAAAAGAGGAGAUAAACCAUCCUCUGCUCCAAGGAACAGAGGUGGUAGGAAGAUAUAAACACCAACAAUCCUCCUGGGAAUGCUGGAGAAAGGCCAGGACAGCAGCACGUCAUCACAGCUAUGUUGGGAUGACCCCACAGCAAUGAAAAUAAUUUAUUAGGACUGGUGGGGGAAAUAAAAGAAAAAGCUUUCCCCAACCUAAGGGUACCACCAGCAUCAGUGCAAUAAUAAUAAGUAACAAUCAAUCAAUCAAUCAUUGUCAUCAUCAGGAUCCUAGCUAGCAGAGUUCAUCCUUUGUGGGAGUGGGAAUUGCUGGGUUUACUCUACAUCCCAUCAAUUUCCAAGUGGAUUUGGCAAUAAAGCUGAAGGCGAGGUUUCCAAAUCUGUUAAGUCAGGACAGGUAAUGGCUUCAUGUCUUUUGAGGAAAAAUAUCAGUGGGGAAAGAAAAUCACAAUCAUGAUGCAUUUAUUUCUUUGUAAGUAUUAAUUUGCACAGAAACAGCAUUACCAAAUAAUUAUCUGGGAUAGGGAAGGAAUAGUAGGGAAUUUUUUUGAUGAUGCUGCAGAAAUAUUCUCCUACAGGUGAAGGGAUCACUGCAUUUCAGCAGGAAAGUCAAAGAAUUCCCAUUGUUGUGCCCCAGCAAGGCCUGGUUUAAUUCCCAGCAGCAAACAGAGACCCACAAGUGAAAGAAAAAUCCCCUAUUUCAUUGUCCUCACUGUUAAAAUUACAGAUACAGGAAUAACAUAUCAGGAUUUUUCUCAUUCCAAAACUACAUAAUGGAAAAAAAAAACCCCAAAAAUUCUUCCUAAUCUUUUACAGGUUUCAAGAAUUUUGUCUACUAAGUAUGUUCUCCAACGGGCAGAAGUUGGGAGACAGAGAGAAAAUGCUGCCAACAAGGAGAAAGUGACAUUUCCCUGUUACUCUGGGUUUUUACACCUCUGAAUUUUUGCAGCCACCUCAACACUUGUAAGCUGAAAUAAUAAUUUUAAAAUAGAGCAAACAUUCUCCCCCUCCUUCCUCCUCUUCCGCCAGUGCUUUUCUCACACAUUUUUCUCCAAUGGAAGGAGACAGAUAAUCUAAUUUGACGUUUUGGGAUAAAUUCCCUGCAGGAACUGUGGAAAUGCCACCUGCUACCUGCGUGUUAGAUUUGAUCAUAAAUCACCAGCACCCAGCAUUUCGACAGGAUCUCCUGAUAUUUUAAUGGCCACGAAAGGUCUGGCCACUGCUGGAAUUAAAGCCCAAAUCGCAGGUUUAUGUUUUUCUGGAAAUGCCAAAUGCUGCCUUGCUUCUUGUAUCACUCUUAAUUGCCCUUCCUUAAUUACAAGGAGUGAAAUCAUUAAUUAUAUUCAGUGGAAAGGGACACAAACGCUCCUGCUUGAGUCUUGGCCCUCUUGGAAGUUCAGAAUGAGCUCUGGGAGGAUGUUGGGCACUGGAAAAGGAAUAUUUGGGCAAUGCUCUCAGCCACAGGGUGGGAUGGGUGGGAUGUCUGUGCAGGGUCAGGAGUUGGAUCUGAUGAUCCUUUCAGGUCCAGCUUGGGAUAUUCUGUAAUUCUACAGUGCUUAAAACACCAGUUCAGCCUUGGGAGGCUCCUCUGGUCUCCUGAAAUCCAAGGUCAGACAUUUGGAAUCUCAGACCAGGUUAUGGAUCUGGCUGCAACAUCUCCAUCUGAGACCUCCCCUAACCAUGGGCUACAUCCCCCCUAUGCUUCCAGGAGAUUCUAAAACACCUGACACUGCAAGGAUGUCAGAGAUUUUGAGCUGCUUUGCUGGCAAAGCCAAGUGACCAGAACAUCUCUGCUCAAUCCUUCAUGGCUGGGAGAAAAUCAGGGUCAGCUUCUAGCAUUCAAACUGGGAAGGAAAAAAGAAAAGAAAAAAAAAAAAAAAAGAAAGAAUGGGUUGAGUAAGGUUGGUUUAAUCUCAAACUUGAAGACCCCAAACACACCCAAGCUGCCCUGUUUGACAGCAGAGAUGCUGGAAAUAUGUCCAAGAGGGACACAACUGCCUGGGGCUGCAGGAAGAUCCCAGAGAGGAUAUUCACUACCACACCUUGGGUUUCCACAACUUUUCUGUCACCCCAAUUCUCUGAGGACCAGGAGGGGACGGGAAGCCCUGAGUGCAGCUCUCAGUGCCCAGCACUGACAUUGGGAGAGGAGCAUCCCGACUGUGUUUGUGCCAAAGCUGGAUCAGGAACAGCGUCGGAAUCCUCUGCAAGGCUUCAAAGUUUCCGCAUGAUUAUGCGAGCAAAUAUUUGGGCUGGAAGUGCUGUUAGUCAUUAUUUGCAGUUCAUUUUCUCUUAUUUGUUCUCUGUCUUUUAAAUAAUAAAAGAGAGAAAGCCAAGAUGACAGCUCACAGCAUUCCCAUCCAGGAGCAGCAACAACAGCUGGAUUUUUCUGCUGAACACCUUUGGUUGUGCACAGCUUCCCGGGAAAUGCUGUGCCAGGGAGGAAUUUGGAUGGAGUCUUUCUGGAUUUACACCCUGGGGCAGCACAACAGGAACCAUUCCCUGUUUCCAGUGCUCACCGGAUCUGGGGGCUUCCCUGCUUGGUUGCUCUUUGGCACCUCAUUUGGAGGUCUGAUCAUGGCAACAGCUGUUCCUCAAAUCCAGGGCUUAGCACCGUUAAUCACAUCAGUAGGCAGCGGGGUUUCCUCCAGCAGGAAAUCCAGGAACAGCUCCAGACUUGCUCCCAUUCAGGGAAGGGUUUACACUCAUCCAUGGAAGUGCAAGGAUCCCUGGGCAUGAGAGAAGCUGUUCCACUUCAGAGUGGUAUAACUGGCAUCAAAAAUUACUUGAGAUGUAAAACCACAUCUCCAGAUCCCCCACAAAUCACAUUCCAGCCCCAGGUGUCUCUGUGCCUCCAGCCCAUGGUGCCUCUGCCCUGUACAGAGUGGGGUGGGAAGGUCUGGGCAGCAGCACUUCCAUAUAAAAAACCUGGCAUGGAAAGUGUAGGAUUGCUCCCUUGAUUCUCCAUGGCAGAGGCCUCAUGCCUUGUUUGGCAAUGGGCUCCUCUUCCAGAGACCCAUGGUAAAAUUUCCUAAAAUACCAGAGGAGCUACCCUGGUAGCAGGAAUUUUGGACAGGAUGAGCCAAAUCUCAUGAGUGUCCCCAUUCUUUCCCCCCAAAGAUUUCAAAGUGGUGCCACAUGAAAUGCCACGUGAAUUUUUUAAGGGAUAAUAUUCCAUUUUAAGGGAUAAUAUUCCACUGACCCAGCACAUCUAUCAGGGUGGAGGGGAUGGGGAGAGAAGCAAGCUUGGCAUUGCAGUUGCAAUUUUACUCAGGCCAUCAUUUUGGAGCUCAGAUUUUCUCAUUCUGGGGUUCAGGGCUAUCCUUGAAAUAAAUUAUCCCUGCCAAGAGCUCCUACAGCUUCCACGCUGCAUCCAAAGGGUGGAGAGCAAUCCAUUAACAUCACUGGGCAAAGAGACAAGCAGCACCUCAGGGGAAAAAAGAGUGGAAAAAAAAAAUCACAGUGCUGCUCCCAAUAGUUCAGAUAUCUCCAGUCAAAUCAGAAAAUCAAGGAGAGAAGCUGGGAAAAAAAGAU